UGAGGGAUAUUGGACAAUGGAGGAAACUCUGAUCCAGCCAUGCCGCGUGAGUGAAGAAGGCCUUCGGGUUGUAAAGCUCUUUCAGUAGUGAAGAUAAUGACGGUAACUACAGAAGAAGCCCCGGCUAACUUCGUGCCAGCAGCCGCGGUAAUACGAAGGGGGCGAGCGUUGUUCGGAAUCACUGGGCUUAAAGCGUGCGUAGGCGGAUAGGAAAGUCAGAAGUGAAAUCCCGGGGCUCAACCCCGGAACUGCUUUUGAAACUUCCUGUCUAGAAUCCGACAGAGGUUAACGGAAUUCCGAGUGUAGAGGUGAAAUUCGCAGAUAUUCGGAGGAACACCAGUGGCGAAGGCGGUUAACUGGGUCGGUAUUGACGCUGAGGUACGAAAGCGUGGGGAGCGAACA
RNAcentral lists this ribosomal RNA (402 nucleotides) under uncultured bacterium. Its description in RNAcentral is "bacterial SSU rRNA". It matches the Rfam family "Bacterial small subunit ribosomal RNA", at positions 355 to 774 of the family's 1533-position model. The record is from RNAcentral.